RNAcentral lists this ribosomal RNA (520 nucleotides) under uncultured bacterium. RNAcentral's name for it is "bacterial SSU rRNA". It matches the Rfam family "Bacterial small subunit ribosomal RNA", at positions 1 to 507 of the family's 1533-position model. The record is from RNAcentral.
AUACGAGUUUGAUCAUGGCUCAGGACGAACGCUGGCGGCGUGCCCAAUACAUGCAAGUCGAGCGGACCAAAGGGAGCUUGCUCCUGGAGGUUAGCGGCGAACGGGUGAGUAACACGUGGGCAACCUGCCUGUAAGACUGGGAUAACAUCGAGAAAUCGGUGCUAAUACCGGAUAAUAAAAAGAACUGCAUGGUUCUUUUUUGAAAGAUGGUUUCGGCUAUCACUUACAGAUGGGCCCGCGGCGCAUUAGCUAGUUGGUGGGGUAACGGCUCACCAAGGCGACGAUGCGUAGCCGACCUGAGAGGGUGAUCGGCCACACUGGGACUGAGACACGGCCCAGACUCCUACGGGAGGCAGCAGUAGGGAAUCUUCCGCAAUGGACGAAAGUCUGACGGAGCAACGCCGCGUGAGUGAUGAAGGUUUUCGGAUCGUAAAACUCUAGUUGUUAGGGAAGAACAAGUGCCGUUCGAAAGGGCGGCACCUUGACGGUACCUAACGAGAAAGCCACGGCUAACUACGUG